RNAcentral lists this ribosomal RNA (300 nucleotides) under uncultured Pyrobaculum sp. RNAcentral describes it as "bacterial SSU rRNA". The stretch from base 58 to 300 matches the Rfam family "Bacterial small subunit ribosomal RNA", at positions 552 to 795 of the family's 1533-position model. Lineage: Archaea; Thermoproteati; Thermoproteota; Thermoprotei; Thermoproteales; Thermoproteaceae. The record is from RNAcentral.
GCGUCGCUGAGUGCCGGGGGCGGCGGUAGUGGGUCGGGUGGGGUCGUUUGCCGGUAGUAUUGUGCGGAAAGUGCUCGGAUGCGGUUUGGCGCGGUGGGAGUGAAAACCUCAUGGUUAACAGGGGGCUUGCUUUCGAUACGGGCAGACUAGAGGUAUGCAGGGGAGAACGGAAGUCCUGGUGUAGCGGUGAAAUGCGCAGAUAUCAGGAGGAACACCGGUGGCGAAGGCGGUUCUCUGGGCAUUACCUGACGCUGAGGAGCGAAAGUGUGGGGAGCGAACAGGAUUAGAUACCUGGGAGUC